AUUUUAUUAACCAAAUGAUUACGAAUCACGAAUGGUUUCAUUUGGGUAAACAAGUUAUUACGAGGAGAAAUUGUUACAUUUGAGUAAAAUACCCAUUACCCAAAUGUAAAAAUUUAUUCCAGUAAUAAUGGCGCUACGUCACCAUUUCGUUUAUAAAAUUACUAAUCGCUCUGCAAAUAUUCCCGUUUACAAGUCAACGUAGCUAGCGCCAUUAUUAGGCCACAUAAAAAAAUAGUUGGUUAGCGUCCUUAGCUUUUGCCAAUAAGUGGGCAGGCGGGCGCUUUUUUUUUAUUUUUACUAAUUUUUAACACCUUGGUUUUAGGUCCGAAACUGGAUUUUCGUGCGCAAGUACAGAUAUUUUUUUAUAUAUUUCAAAAUAUGAUUCAUACCGUCAUUUUCGCACGCAAUUUCGCAAUUUAUUAACACAAUCGACUACAGUCAACAGAAAUACUACAUAUAUUAGAGCCCGUACAUUUGGUAUUUUACCCAAAUGUAACAAUUUCUCCCCGUGAUAAUUUGUUUACCCAAAUGAAACCAUUCGUGAUGGGUAGGGAUAAAACGCUGAAACUGAAUCACGGAAACGGAAACUGAAAGCGGAAACUGAAGUGGGGAUAAAACGCUGAAAUGGGGAUAAAACGCUGAAAUGGGGAUAAAACGCUGAAAUGGGCAAAUUUAAUCGAAUUCGUUGUUUGCUAGACCAUUGCGAACACAUGUAAUUUGUCUAUAAAACUGAAUAAAUAUAAGAAAGAAGUUACCGGUAAAAUGACAACCACAAAAUUUCGAAGAACGUCUGCUGCACUAUUUGUAAAGUCGUUUGAAUUAAUUUUGACUAUACUAUACCUCGCUCGCGGUAAAGAUUGACAAAUUAUGAACCUGCGUUUAAUAAACUGAAUACUGCAGUGAGACAAUAUAAUGCAUG
Non-coding RNA from Paramuricea clavata, 919 nucleotides. NCBI's taxonomy places the organism in Eukaryota, Metazoa, Cnidaria, Anthozoa, Malacalcyonacea, Plexauridae. The record is from the annotation of a GenBank genome assembly.